RNAcentral lists this ribosomal RNA (253 nucleotides) under uncultured bacterium. Its description in RNAcentral is "partial 16S ribosomal RNA". It matches the Rfam family "Bacterial small subunit ribosomal RNA", at positions 524 to 776 of the family's 1533-position model. The record is from RNAcentral.
UACAGAGGUCCCAAGCGUUGUUCGGAUUCAUUGGGCGUAAAGGGUGCGUAGGCGGUGCCGCAAGUCAGAUGUGAAAUCUCGGGGCUUAACCCCGAAACUGCAUUUGAUACUGCGGUGCUCGAGGACUGGAGAGGAGACUGGAAUUCACGGUGUAGCAGUGAAAUGCGUAGAUGUCGUGAGGAAGGCCAGUGGCGAAGGCGAGUCUCUGGACAGUUCCUGACGCUGAGGCACGAAGGCCAGGGGAGCAAACGGG